Molecule: ribosomal RNA, 109 nt
Filed under: Prolemur simus (greater bamboo lemur)
Lineage: Eukaryota; Metazoa; Chordata; Mammalia; Primates; Lemuridae
Source: RNAcentral
GUGUACGGCCAUACCACCUUGAACGUGCCCAGUCUCGUCUGAUCUCGGAAACUAAGCAGGGUCAGGCCUGGUUAGUACUUGGAUGGGAGAAGCCAUGACAUGGUUUAAG